GCGUAGCUGGUAACCACUGCUCUUCACGCCUGAGCGAGACGAGAGGUUAUACGAUGACAUGGUGGAUUUAUAUAAAAAGAGCGGGCACGAGAGAUGGUUGCGAAAUUCGUCGUGAAUCGCAUUCUAGCCGAGCGAAAGAAACGGUUGUGCGACGAGUUGCGCAAGAUAGUGUAAGAUGGAGAUUGAGUUAGGCGAGUGGUAGACAGGGUUAGAUAAAAUUAGACGAAGAUAGUCAGAGCUGGCCUGCAAGCCCAGGAUGCAGGGUAGAUGUCGGAUGGGUAGACGGGGAUAGACGAGGAUAUCCGAUGCGAGCAGCAUACCGUUCACGAGAAGAAGCAGUUCGGUGAUCUCGUGAAAAAGGGCACGAGAUCUGGAACAGGUUCGACGAGAGUAAGAAAUAUAUAUAUAUAUAGGGUAGGUAUAACGGGAGCCCUAGGCUUCCAAUAGUUAAAGGAAGCCCAGGCCGACUACUCCUAUAAACUGGUUCAACCCAAGCACCCAACUAGCCUGUCGGGUGCGCCACCUACCCCACGUCUGUUAGCGCAAAAAAAGGAAUGCAUGCACGAGUCAAACACGAUCUAAUGCAUGCGCGUAAAUUUAGGAAAAAAAUAUGUGGCGGUUUUUAUUUUUAAAUGCUUUAUUUCCUCCAUAAAUUUAGGAUCGCUGCAACAGCCAUGCAGCUAGACACGUAAGGACCAUUUUAUGAUAUAUACUGAGACUAAAUAUGCUACACUGUGUAGAUAAUUAUGCAAUUCGGUAUACUGCGUAAAAAUCUGUUACCAGCUGCAUGCGCACGAAUUUAUGAUGAAAAUAAUGUGCAAUGAAAGGAAAUGAAUUGCAUGCAUAGAAAAAAAAUCGUAUUUAAUGGUUAAUUUGCUUCAUAAAUAUAGUAUCCCUCCAACAACCAUGUAGCUAAACACAUUAGAACUAGUUUAUGAUUUAUACUUAUACUAAUUAUACUACACGAUAUAGGUAUUUAUGCAAUUCGGUACACUGCGUAAAAAAAUCUAGCAUGUUGUUCACUGGUGGACGCAUCUCCAGGUUGGAGCGUAAAAACCUUAAGUUUUACGCAUAAAAUCUCUCAAGCGUAAAUAUCUGGCCAAUGUGAGAGGUUGAUAGCUCUGGUAGGUUGUUAUUACGAUGCUAUUUUUAUGGCAGAUUCGAAAAAUAUGGCAGCCGCAUGAAUGCAAUAUAUAUUUUUAUACAGAUCCUAAAAUUAUGGCAAAAUGCAUGCAUGAGUCAAACACGUUCCCUUGCAUGCGCGUAAAUUUAGGAAAGAUAUGUGUGGCGGUUUCUAUUUUAAAUGCUUUAUUUCCUCCAUAAAUUUAGGAUCGCUGUAACAGACAUGCAACUAAAACUCGUAAUGACCAUUUUAUGCUAUAUACUGAUACUAAAUAUGCUACACUGUGUAGAUAAUUAUGCAAUUCGGUAUACUGCGUAAAAAUCUGCUAUCAGCUGCAUGCACACAAAUUUAUGAUGGAAAGAAUAUGCAGUGAAAGGAAAUGAAUUGCAUGCAUAGAAACAAAAAAUCGCAUUUAAUGUUUUAUUUCCUUCAUAAAUAUAGGAUCCCUCCAACAGCCAUGCAGCUAAACGCAUUAGAAUUAGUUUAUGAUGUAUACUGAAACAAAUUAUACUACACGGUGUAGGUAUUUAUGCAAUUCCUUACACUGCGUAAAAAAUCUGGCAUGUUGUUCACCGGUGGACGCAUCUCCGGGUGGAGCGUAAAAACCUUAAGUUUUGAGCAUAAAAUCCCUCAUUUAUAAGCGUAAAUAUCGAGUCAAUAGAGGUUGAUAGCUUUAGUAGGUUGUUAUUACGAUCCUAUUUUUAUGACAGAUCCGAAAAACAUGGCAGCCGCAUGCAUGCGGUUUCUAUUUUUAUACAGAUCCAAAAAUUAUGGCAAAAUCGUGGGAGUUUCCAUUGCAUGCACGCAAAUUACGAACAGCAUAAAUCAAGGAAUUACCUUUCCAAUGUGCAUACAGUAAACUGAUAUACGAACUCUGUGUUAAAGCAUAAAAUCGUACAGUUUUUAGCGUAAAUAAUACAUGUGGUAGGCAUAAAACACAAUAAACGAAAAGAAAAAUGCGCCGGAUCGGAGGAUGUCACGCGCGAUCAUCGCUGCGCGCAUCUCGCCCCUUCCGUGACGUCGCUCGCUCGAACAUCGCGCCUCAUGUGUCACCGUCGCUACUCGCACGUCGACGGGCGUCGCUUGCUCGUCGGCCUUGGAAGUGCCGCCUCCUCGGGGCUUCGGGGACGCCGCCGCUUGCCCGCACAAGGGCCUCGCUGCGGAUCGAGGAACCUCCGCCACCGCGCGUCGAGGUAAUGGAGUUGUGGCCACCGGCCUGGGAUCCGCCGCCGCUCGCCCUCUGGAUCGAGGGCCGCCACCGCCGGCCUGGGAACCGCCGCCACCGCAUGUCGAGGUCGGGGAGCCACGGCCACCGCAGCCACUGGCCGGGGUCCACCGCCGUGCGCGCUAUCGGGCAACCGCCGUCGCUAAUGAAUCGAGAUGGGGCGUGAAAAACUGAACCCUAGCACUCCGGGUCCUGUUUUAUAGACGUCCGGAUGUGGUCCGGAUUGCACUGUCUGCCCCGGGCUUCCUUUAGUUAUUGGAAGCCCAGGGCUCCUAAUAUACAAUCUAUAUAUAUAUUAUCGAGUUUUCAAAAUUUUAUAGUUUUCGUAAAUACUAAAUUUUAGGAAUUUAAUUAAUAUUAGAAAAACUGAAAUUCAUAUUUAAUACUCGAAGAAACAUUUCGAAGGUUCCCGAAAGUUUCCGAAAACAUAAACAAGAUAAUUCGAUAUAGUUUGAAAACAUUUGCACUUAUAAACACUAUACAACGACAUAAAUAAAACCUUCAAAGCUUCUCCAGGAUUUUAUUUUACUACGCUAAAAAACUUAUAUAUAUAUAUAUAACUCUUCAUUAUUUAGAAAAAAAGAAGAAAAGCGGUAAAGGAGAGGAUAACAUCUGAAUUUGGUGAAUAUUAGAAAAGAAAUUUUAUACUUUCAUAUUCAGCGUGUUACAUUACAGCUAGGUUGUCAGAUGUUUCUUCAACGGAUCACAUCGAGCCUCGACGAGAAAACAUGGAUUAUGUUAGGAAUUGUAACCGAGCCCAGCCUCAUGGUUUGAUGUGUCGCGGUGCCGGGUUAUAAAGUAUCAUGUGAUGCGGGCCCCUUGAUCCUCAUAUGGUGGCCGAACUGGGGCGAGUUGUGCGGCGUCGUUGAGAGAAGGGCGGAAGCCGCCACGGAGACAACUCCGGUGCACUGGCGCCGGUGCUUCGGAUGGUGGUCAGGGAGCUCCUUCGGGCCAUGUUCGUUUAAGCCAAACCCGGUCGAGAUCGAGCCCAAUCCCCCGUGGAUCAGCGUGGGCUAGAAAAGAUCACAGCCCACAACGAAACAGCGUUCGUUUCACCCCGUCCGGGUUUCAACUCCGGCCCACCCUGACUAUUCCGAGCUCAACCCGGUCGGGAAACAUCCCUCGUCACCCCGUCGUGGAAAGAACCCGCGAGCGAGAGUGCUCAGCGCGAGGUGGCGGCGGUGGCUAGCGGCGGUGGCUACAUCGACGCAUACGCACGACACGGCGACCGGCGUGGAGAACAACAAAUUUUCGCCGGUACUCACGCCGUCCUCCUCUAACUCCUCGCUAGUACGCACUUGCCAUCCCGAUUCCAUUUCCAGAUCUCGCUAGGUCUCGCUAGUUCCCAAGAUCUCACUUGUUGUUUAUUGGAUCCUGCAUUCCACCUCUUUUAAUUCUUGGGGCUCUAUCCUUGGUCUCUACCGUCGACGAGCCCGAGCAGCAGGCCACUGGAGCGGACACUGUUGCCGUGACGGCCGUGGCCCUGGUGGUCGUGAUGGCUGUCUCGUAGCUCAUGUCCUGCUGAGAGACCCAAAUGACCGAUGGCCAUUGCGAACAGAAUAGGGAGGCUUUGAGUGUGAGGCCGUGACAACACAGUCAUCUCACUAGAAUCUUUAUCACGUUCACAUCUCUAAUGUGUUAGAACUGGAUAUUUGUUUACUUGUUCAAGGUAUUGAGAUUGCAAUAAUGAACUACUGUCUACGCUCAGCUUUAGCAUCUAUACCUUUCUGAUACUUAGAAUUAGUUUAUGUAGUUUAGUCGCAAAGUUAUACCAAAGCACAAUAUAUAACUGACAAUACAUUUAUGGACUAACCACUAUUCAUUUACCUGCCUAGUUAUGCUAUAUAACUGACAAUAUAUUUAUGAAUUAGUUAUGCUAUAUAACUGACAAUACGCAUUCACUGAUUUGCAGUUAGUAUUAAUAGGCAACUAACUGGACACAUUCACAGAUUCAUAAAGGCAUGCACCUAAUAAGGUCACAUGACUGAAAUCAUAUUUAUAUGCAAAACAGAUUCAGAUACUAAGAACUUGAGCACCAGUCCAAACUGCAGUAUCUAGCUCAGUAGAAUGGAGUAUGGUCAUCGAUGAUGGAGAGGCUAGGCGUGUGUCACUGUAUCGAUGUAGGAGGCAAUUGUCCAAUACAAAUCAUAUAUUUGCAUACCUUGAGUAGAGUAAUUCUCUAUAUACUGAGCAGAGUAAUUUAAAAAAAUUAGAUACACUGAGCAGAGUAAUUCUCUAUUAUGGCAUCAUAUAUUUGCUUUACCUGGAGUAGUUUGAAUGUGCAAGACAGUAAUAAUAGUUUGAAUGUGCAAGACAAUACUAGUAUUUUCUCAUAUCUGAAUAUUUAACGUUUGUCCAUCUAUACAAGCAUAGGAUUAGUUGGCACUAGAAUCAUGUGACGAGGAGAAGGAGCACAUGCCAUGUAACUGCAUGUAGAAAGCCAGUUUCAUUAUGCAAUGCAAGUUUAGAGUUUUGUUUUGAAAUAAAGGGCGCAUGGAGAAAUAGAAACGUCAUGCUAGCUAAUAAACAACUUAUGGUAGCUAAUAAACAGAAAUGUAUUUUUCACAAAUCUCAUUUAUUUCCAAUUAGUUGUCUAUGUAUUUCUAACAAAAACCUAUUAUAUUUCUAGAUUAUCCCUGCAUCGGUUCGAGUUGGAGAAGACGAACUUCCACCAUCUUGGGACCCUACACCCUCUCCUUUACGUACUUGUUAUGUCCUAUAUGUUCUUUAUUACAUCAUGUUCUGUUUUUGUUGGUGUUUAUUUUCUGUUAUGGAUUUCUUUUUAGUUAGCAAUGGAUGUGACACUAAGAGAUCGCCUUAGAAAGAGAAGGGAUGAGGAUGAUGAUGAUAUGAUGCUGUUUUUUUCCUAUGCUACAUAUAUUGGGCUUUAGUUCAAACAUAGCAAGGGAAAAGAAGCGAAGGCAUACAUCAAAGUUAAGUGGCCAAGAACAUGUUCAAGAGUUGCUUCAAGGUCAUUUGAAGAACUGUUGGUGAAUGGUGAUGAUGCAUUGCUCCUUGUUGCUGACGACCGCCUGCUACUGCUUGCUACUUUUACCACGACAACAACGAUUGCUGCUUGCUGCUGGCCAUGUGUGCAAGGCCUGGUCAUGCAUAAACAAUUGUGCAUGUCAUGAACUCUUUAAGCGUAGGGCAUUUCAGUGCAUUGGAUGGAUUACUUGUCCUGUAAUGAAACCUAUAAUAAUGGUGCUUCUAUGCGACUGCUGCAAGACAU
Long non-coding RNA from Zea mays, 5580 nucleotides. RefSeq lists it as uncharacterized. The transcript has 2 exons. The record is from RefSeq and is a predicted model, not a curated record. NCBI's taxonomy places the organism in Eukaryota, Viridiplantae, Streptophyta, Magnoliopsida, Poales, Poaceae.